GACGAACGCUGGCGGCGUGCUUAACACAUGCAAGUCGAACGGAAAGGCCCUGCUUUUGUGGGGUGCUCGAGUGGCGAACGGGUGAGUAACACGUGAGUAACCUGCCCUUGACUUUGGGAUAACUUCAGGAAACUGGGGCUAAUACCGGAUAGGAGCUCCUGCUGCAUGGUGGGGGUUGGAAAGUUUCGGCGGUUGGGGAUGGACUCGCGGCUUAUCAGCUUGUUGGUGGGGUAGUGGCUUACCAAGGCUUUGACGGGUAGCCGGCCUGAGAGGGUGACCGGCCACAUUGGGACUGAGAUACGGCCCAGACUCCUACGGGAGGAAGCAGUGGGGAAUAUUGCACAAUGGGCGGAAGCCUGAUGCAGCAACGCCGCGUGCGGGAUGACGGCCUUCGGGUUGUAAACCGCUUUCGCCUGUGACGAAGCGUGAGUGACGGUAAUGGGUAAAGAAGCACCGGCUAACUACGG
Molecule: ribosomal RNA, 467 nt
Filed under: uncultured bacterium
Lineage: Bacteria
Description: partial 16S ribosomal RNA
Rfam family: Bacterial small subunit ribosomal RNA
Source: RNAcentral